UGGGGAAUAUUUCACAAUGGGCGCAAGCCUGAUGCAGCCAUGCCGCGUGUAUGAAGAAGGCCUUCGGGUUGUAAAGUACUUUCAGCGGGGAGGAAGGGAGUAAAGUUAAUACCUUUGCUCAUUGACGUUACCCGCAGAAGAAGCACCGGCUAACUCCGUGCCAGCAGCCGCGGUAAUACGGAGGGUGCAAGCGUUAAUCGGAAUUACUGGGCGUAAAGCGCACGCAGGCGGUCUGUCAAGUCGGAUGUGAAAUCCCCGGGCUCAACCUGGGAACUGCAUUCGAAACUGGCAGGCUAGAGUCUUGUAGAGGGGGGUAGAAUUCCAGGUGUAGCGGUGAAAUGCGUAGAGAUCUGGAGGAAUACCGGUGGCGAAGGCGGCCCCCUGGACAAAGACUGACGCUCAGGUGCGAAAGCGUGGGGAGCAAACAGG
RNAcentral lists this ribosomal RNA (429 nucleotides) under Chloroflexota bacterium. Its description in RNAcentral is "Chloroflexi bacterium partial 16S ribosomal RNA". It matches the Rfam family "Bacterial small subunit ribosomal RNA", at positions 355 to 776 of the family's 1533-position model. The record is from RNAcentral. Lineage: Bacteria; Bacillati; Chloroflexota.